Molecule: ribosomal RNA, 393 nt
Filed under: uncultured bacterium
Lineage: Bacteria
Description: partial 16S ribosomal RNA
Rfam family: Bacterial small subunit ribosomal RNA
Source: RNAcentral
AUACGUAGGGGGCUAGCGUUAUCCGGAAUUACUGGGCGUAAAGGGUGCGUAGGUGGUUUCUUAAGUCAGAAGUGAAAGGCUACGGCUCAACCGUAGUAAGCUUUUGAAACUAAGAGACUUGAGUGCAGGAGAGGAGAGUAGAAUUCCUAGUGUAGCGGUGAAAUGCGUAGAUAUUAGGAGGAAUACCAGUUGCGAAGGCGGCGCUCUGGACUGUAACUGACACUGAGGCACGAAAGCGUGGGGAGCAAACAGGAUUAGAUACCCUGGUAGUCCAUGCCGUAAACGAUGAGUACUAGCUGUCGGGGGUUACCCCCCUCGGUGGCGCAGCUAACGCAUUAAGUACUCCGCCUGGGAAGUACGCUCGCAAGAGUGAAACUCAAAUGAAUUGACGGG